This 304-nucleotide long non-coding RNA is filed under the name Solanum tuberosum (potato). Its description in RNAcentral is "long non-coding RNA (STUB_LNC003773)". The record is from RNAcentral. Lineage: Eukaryota; Viridiplantae; Streptophyta; Magnoliopsida; Solanales; Solanaceae.
UCCCCCUCAAUCUAUAACCAAAUUCUCAACUACACACUUAUAUUUUAUGAGAGUCCUAUUACCCCCUUGGACUAAUUUAAAGCGAAAUAUAUACCACCCUAAAACUAGAGAACCACAUUCUUCGAAUGUGGUGUGCACACGCGCUACAACUGUCAAAUGCCAUAUAUUUUUUUAAAAAAAGAAGUAAAUGUUGUUCUUCUUCUUCAUUGCCAACAUCAUCUUUACUCUUCUCUUCUCCAUAUUGUUGAGACAUGUUUUUAAUUCUUUUCACUGUAAACUCUCCUAAACCUUAUUUCCCUCCACC